UCUGUGUCCUGUAAUCCCUUUCCUGGCUGGGAGGAGCUCAGACUAUUUAGUUACCAGGGCACAGAGGGCUGGCUGCAGGGUGUGUGUCUCCCAAAGGGCAGCCCUAGACUGGAGAGAGAACAGCCAAAAAUACUCUGCUGCUUUGGGCACUGCCUUACAAGGCUGGAGCGCAGUUUGUUAAGCAGAAAACACAUCAAAAUGAGAGACUGUGUUUUGUGCACUGGGAUAAAGGAGCACAGCUGCUCUGCCCCAGUGGGUGCUGGAACAAACCUGCUUCCUUCCCAGUUCCUCCCCAGCUCUGCAGGAUCAAAGCCCUCCUCAUGCUGAUGCUACUCAGACUUUGUCCUACAGAUCAGCUGUGUGCUUUGGUAAGGGACAUGCUACACACAGGAGAUUAAGGACAAGUUGUUGCCCCUGGAUGUGACACAGAGGGGCUUCUGGUCCACAUUUGGCAUCGCAUGGAUGGGCAAACAGAUACUCCCUGCACCCCAUGUGCAUGUAGCAGUGUCCAGCUUCUGAGGUGCCAGGAGUGAGUAGAUCUCAGGACCACCCCCUUGCAGAGCUGCCUCAGGAAGAUGGGACAGCCAGGGGUGGUGGGAAACACCUGCAGGAAGCACGUCCACCAGCCCCAUGCGAGCUCUCCCAGAAAUGUCUGUAUCUCCAUGUAUUUCCAGCAGGUGGGAAGAUAUGAACCAACACCGCAUGCUUUCUACUCAACACUUUGCUUAGGGCAUCCUUUAUUUUGACUCUCUUUCUCUUCUGGCCCUUCCUUUUCUUCCCAGCUGCGUGAACAUGAUCUCCCACAGCCCCAAAUUGAUGUUCCCAGAGAUGGGCUCAGCACCAGCACCCAAAAUCAGCAAGAGAACGGUGCUGAGAAAAGUGAGUUCAGGGAGUAGGCUGUUCCCUCCAUAUAUUGCUCAGGGUGUUUGCUGCUCUGAGUUUGGAUGCUCAGAGCCUUCUCCGGAGGGAAAGCUAUUGAUGGAGGCAUGGCGGAUGGAAGGAGCGUUGCCCAAACCUCCUUUUGGAGACUGCUUUGGAGAAACCGUGCAUGCAGCAAAGUGGAUGCAGAGUUGUUUUCAGGCAAGUCCAGCAGAGUGCUGUGUGCACGGGCAGGCAUGCAUCAAGGCGGUGAGGGCCACAUGUUGUGUCUGUACGUGUGAGCACGUACAGGAGAGGGACGCCCGCACCUUGCACCGGGGCGCAGAGGAGGCUGGCUGCACGUGACGGUAUCCAUGCCUUGCACGCCAGCCACGUUGAUCUCAUGUGCUGAGCUUCUUGCAGGCACCCAAAGGAGUCAUCGAGCGUGCUCUGAUCGCUGCGCGCUGCCAAAAUCCUCUGGAAUCUGCUCCCCUGCGUCGCCCCUUCCCAGGUCAGCGGCGGGGGCUGCGGCAGCAGGUGCUGAAACCCGUCCCUCCCCGCGACCUGCCUCGCUUGCUUUUCCAGCACAUUUUCCGGAGGUCAGCCGUCCCCUCCCUGCCGCUGGAUUGCUUUCCUGCCCUUCCCACCUGCUCCUUCCACCCCGCAGAUUGUUUGGAGAGCGGCUUUCACGGGGGUAGUGUUGGGGGAACAUGAGUCGAAGGAGAAAUCAAUCCUGUCCUUGCUAGGGCUGAGAUCUUGGAAAUGCUGUUCUCCCAUCCAGUGGCUCUCGAAGAAUCGGGGCUGAGUGUGGCACUGCUAUUUCUGGUCGCUGGCAGCUAUUCCUGGCCCUGACCUGAAGCUCAGUCCUUUCCCACUCUGUGCCCAUGCACGAGGGCUGAGCGUGGUGUGCAGGGCAGACAGAGAAGGCUCUAAAUAUCAGCAGCCGUGGGCAGCUGCUGGGAGAGGCACUGAGCAGAAAGCAUCCUGGCUCCGUGGCAAGCAGCAUACCCUGCCCCAUCCCCUUUCCAGGGUUAGCAGGAUGUUGCAGGGCCAGUGCUCUGCUUAUUCCAUAGGACUUUGUGAGGGGAGGGGUGCAUCUGAGCUGUCCAUCCACCCUGCACUUGCAGGGUUCGGUUGCUCACACACCUCCUGUGCACAAGAAAUACUUGCACUCGAGACAAAUGUAGCAGCCUGCAGGUCAAUGGCUCGGCUCUCCCCAAAGGAAAGGAAGCUAAGGAAGAGUGAUCACAACCGACUUCACCAUUUUUCUACGUAUUGCCCAAAUUGAGAUAUAUGACAAGGUCAGUGGGAUGCAGAGCACAGAGGGGCACAUCUCCAUCGCCACCGAUUCCCUCAAGGUCAAGGUUGCCUCCAUAGCCUGUCCUAAAGGAGAUGCCCUAGUUUAUUUUGGAUCCCUUGCCUUGCUGGCCAUUGAGGCAGCUUUGGCAGACCAUCAGGACCAUAGGGACACCUGGAAGCCUGAUGAUUUUUUGGCCUUUUGGACAAGAAGAAGCAGCCUAGAGGAAGCUGGACUUUCUUUCCCAUUCAAGCCAAUGGUGCGGUGUCAGAGGAUCUGCUUUCCCCACCACGGGUGGCUGUCAGUAUAAGGCUCUAUCUUGUUUUUCUCCUCCAUUAAGUUUAUUUCUGCAUAAAAACAGUGUAUUCUACUGCCAUUGGCUUGGAGCAGUGUCUUAAAUUUCCCCACCCACAUCAGGGUAAGUACCCACCGCUGCUCUGUCUUCACAAAUUCUCCUCCUGCCCCUGCGCUGUUCACCCUAAAAUGCUUCACUCUGAGAGAGUCUGCAGGAUUUCUUUUCCCUCCUCCCAUACAAAAUCACGCAGUCAA
Meleagris gallopavo (turkey) is the source of this 2704-nucleotide non-coding RNA. The record is from RefSeq and is a predicted model, not a curated record. NCBI's taxonomy places the organism in Eukaryota, Metazoa, Chordata, Aves, Galliformes, Phasianidae.